Long non-coding RNA from Neogale vison (American mink), 1129 nucleotides. RefSeq lists it as uncharacterized. The transcript has 4 exons. Lineage: Eukaryota; Metazoa; Chordata; Mammalia; Carnivora; Mustelidae. The record is from RefSeq and is a predicted model, not a curated record.
UUUAUCAUGGGGCUUAAAAAUAUUUAUAUGCACAAGAGUGUUGGACUAAACUAUGGUUCCAGACAUAUUUAUGUAGGCAGUGAAAAAACUACAAAGUAAUCCCUUUCUAGAGUUUUCCACCAGUUCCAUCUUAACGUCAUGAGAUGAUUAACAAGUUCCGACUUAUUUAUGCAAGAAAGGAUUGUCUUCGGGUAUCUCCAUGAGAGGAGCCCUUGAUACCUUCAGGGACAGGCAUCUUCCCCAUGGCACUCUGAAGAACUGACCGACACUUCACAACACUGGACUGAAAUGUUGAUGUGGCCAACGUCCCUCAUCAGUCAUCAUGAGGGAGGCGGAAUCCAUGAGCGUGGUGGACAUUACAUGGAAGGAAAAUGAGACCAUGGCAGGGGUGGGGGAAGGGAAUCACAGGGCACAGCCUCACUUGCUUAAGCUUUUUGGACUUUUAAAUUGUUCCAUGUGCAUGAGCUAAACUUCAGUUAACUAAGGCAUUGCUUUUUGCUUAUUUGUUUGUUUUUCAGCAGUUUAGUCUUUAUUCUAAUAAAACUGCUUGGAAAAAUAUGGAUGGAUUGCUAUUUUUUAAUUGUUAUUCUUUUAAAGUGGGUUAAAAAAAACUUUUUUUUAAUUAGACUGGAUAAGACACAGAUGGAUUGCAUGGAAAUAAUUAACUUACAACAUUGUCUUUUAAUCACAUAGUUUCUCACAUGCUUUAGAAGUAUGAUAUUAAUCACAAUUCUAAGAAGGGGCAGGUUUACAUUGCCGUAUGAAGUCUUAUCAUGCCUAUCUCCUCUAACUGUCAGAGGAAAUAUUAUAUACACAUAACAAUAUAUAGAGCAAGAGUAUGAAUAACGUAGACAGUAUAAAUUAUAGAGUGAAUCAGUUAUAUAUAAAAAGUAUAUAAAGUACCCGACAUAUAGAAUAGGUAGAGUAAUAGGAUAUACUACUCUCUAUGUGUUCAUAAAUAGAUUUAUGAGUGUAUUACUUUCCACACAUUCACAGAAAGUAUUUGUUUCUGAAACUAUAAGAAGAUUGAAUUUUCACAAGUCACAAAAUACCAGAACUUUCAAGGUGUUCUAAAAUUAGGUAGAAAAUAGUUACUUAUAAGAAAACAUCCAGAAAUGCAUCAUUAACU